This 412-nucleotide long non-coding RNA is filed under the name Vitis vinifera (wine grape). RNAcentral's name for it is "long non-coding RNA (VVIN_LNC006485)". The record is from RNAcentral. Lineage: Eukaryota; Viridiplantae; Streptophyta; Magnoliopsida; Vitales; Vitaceae.
CUGCAUGAAUUUUAAGGAUUACAAACUAUGGAACAGCAGAAAGUAACUAAAUCAAAUUUAAUUAAGUAAACACAAUUAAAAUUCAUCAUACUAUAACUAAAAUAAACAUCAAUUUUAAUAAAAUAAACACACAAUUAAAGGACCUCAUACAAUAACUAAAUCACAAACCCAAUUCACAAUGAUCCCUUAUGUAUUGCGUCCUUGGUUCAAAACCACUCACUCAAAUGUCAUUUCUUAGGUCAAAAUUGAAUAAACUGAAAUAAAUAAAACGUCUUAAAUUUCAUCAGGGAAAUAAACAACUAUGCUCAGUCCAGGUCUCGCACAUAAGUAGCUGGUGAAAUGGAAAAAAUGAAUCAAACACCCAAGACCCCUAACAACAGAACCAUGACAUGUCCUCAACAGAGGCUGUUUG